CAGAGGGGGAUAACGUUUGGAAACGAACGCUAAUACCGCAUGAUAUUAUUGGGCAGCAUUGCCUGAUAAUCAAAGGAGCAAUCCGCUGAAAGCUGGGCUCGCGUCCGAUUAGGUAGUUGGCGGGGUAACGGCCCACCAAGCCGACGAUCGGUAGCCGGACUGAGAGGUUGAACGGCCACAUUGGGACUGAGACACGGCCCAGACUCCUACGGGAGGCAGCAGUGAGGGAUAUUGGUCAAUGGGGGAAACCCUGAACCAGCAACGCCGCGUGAGGGAAGACGGUUUUCGGAUUGUAAACCUCUGUCCUCUGUGAAGAUGAUGACGGUAGCAGAGGAGGAAGCUCCGGCUAACUACGUGCCAGCAGCCGCGGUAAUACGUAGGGAGCAAGCGUUGUCCGGAUUUACUGGGUGUAAAGGGUGCGUAGGCGGCUUUGCAAGUCAGAAGUGAAAUCUAUGGGCUUAACCCAUAAACUGCUUUUGAAACUGCAGGGCUUGAGUGAAGUAGAGGUAGGCGGAAUUCCCGGUGUAGCGGUGAAAUGCGUAGAGAUCGGGAGGAACACCAGUGGCGAAGGCGGCCUACUGGGCUUUAACUGACGCUGAGGCACGAAAGCGUGGGUAGCAAACAGGAUUAGAUACCCUGGUAGUCCACGCUGUAAACGAUGAUUACUAGGUGUGGGAGGACUGACCCCAUCCGUGCCGGAGU
Molecule: ribosomal RNA, 702 nt
Filed under: uncultured bacterium
Lineage: Bacteria
Description: bacterial SSU rRNA
Rfam family: Bacterial small subunit ribosomal RNA
Source: RNAcentral